This is a long non-coding RNA of Ctenopharyngodon idella (grass carp), 2827 nucleotides long. RefSeq lists it as uncharacterized. The transcript is spliced from 5 exons. The record is from RefSeq and is a predicted model, not a curated record. Lineage: Eukaryota; Metazoa; Chordata; Actinopteri; Cypriniformes; Xenocyprididae.
CGACACCUUUGGGUCCUUGACAACAAUGACGCUUGAUGACAGUCGCUACAACACGUGCAGGUGACAGCUAUCACACAACUGCACAUAUUCCAGCAAAUAAACCGACACACAGUGCGAUAAAAUGCGGGAAUCGAGUGUCAUUUAACUCCUCGAAUAAGGGAUGUUUGGACACCCAGUCAUCAGAAGCAGAGCUGUAGGAAGUGUGGACAGACAUUGCCUGUAAUGAUGGACUUCUGCUGAUGGACAGGCAGAAAACCAUAACCGCUGCUGGACAUCGUACUGUGGCCUGGGGGGGGACCCGAAUCAUCCCCACCCCUUCACGCACACACCAUUCACUCAUAUCGCAGAGAUCUGGCUGGGAUCGAACCAGCAACCUCUGAACCCAUGAGGCAGCGCUCUUAACCUGUGAGCCACAGAUCUCUUGUUUGAACAUGUGCAGGAACUUAUAUUUCACUGUUAACCUGACCUGUGAUUUACAAUAAACUAGUUAAAGCUUUCAGUUGUGUGUUUGUCAUGAUUGAGGUGGGAUUUGAACCCAAGCCUCCAUCACAGUCUCACCAUCAGAGAACGUGUGUUUAGCCACUUGUGCCACUGUGACUUUCACACUUAACGUUUGGGUUUGGGUUUGGGUUUGGGCCACUUUAUUGGAUAUAAUGGCAACAAGUUAAUGUUAGCAAUAGUGGGAUUUGAACCCAUGUUUUAUCACAGGCUUGUCACCAGAAAGCAUGUGUUUAGCCGCUCACACCACUGUGGCUUUCACAUUGAGCUCUGGUGUUUGGCCCACUUUGUUGGAUAUAAUGCCAACAAUGUAACAUAGGCAAUAAUGGGAUUUGAACCCAAGCAUCUAUCACAGUCUCAUCACCAGAGAACGUGUGUUUAGCCACUUGUGCCACUGUGACUUUCACACCGAGCGCUGGCGUUUGGCCCACUUUGUUGGAUAUAAUGCCAACAAUUUUACAUAAGCAAUAGUGGGAUUUGAUCUCAGGACGUUCACGUACAACAAGCAGUUAAUAAUCCACUGAUCCACAGAGCCUGUGAUGAUCAUGAGAAGUUUUUCAUACAUUUUAUUAUCUUUAGCACAUGUUUUUUUUUUGGGUAAUGCAGACAGUGUAUUUGUGUUCUUGGCUUUGUCAGCUUUUACUGGCUUAAGAACAUUAUCUGAGGGAAAUGAGUGACUGUAUGUAAAUAUUACCUACCAAAUGUACACACACUUAUAAAAAUUUUCAUUAAGAUCUUUAUUAAUUCUUUACAUGUCAAACUCAAACUGAAAACACACACAUGACUAGUAAACAGCAUUUGUUUAUUCAAGUAAAUAGAUUUGAUAUGAAUUAGAAACACAGAGAUCAACACACCUGCCUGGAAGUUUCUAGUAAAGCUGAAGACCUUGAUUAGCUGCUUCAGGUGUUUUUAAUGAGGUUGAAGCUAAACUCAGGAACGUGGCUCACCAGGAGCAGGAUUAGACAGACAGCCCUGCUUUAUUUCUUUAUUUUUUUUCUUCAUAUAUUAAUGCAGAUACACUUAUUGUCCACAAGGGGGAGACACACUGAUCUCAGAGGACUCUUAGAUUCACCUCCUCCUCAUCAGAGACACAAAAGAUCCCCUCACUGAGUCUGUUGGUGGAAAACUGCAGAAAAUUUCACAUGCUGCUGUAUUUUCAGGAAAGCAUGUGUCUCUAUGGAUGUCUGUCAGUACUUUAAUAAAAUAAAAAAACAAAUAAACCAGAAUAUUUAGCAUAGUCUGAUGGCUAUGUUUUUCUUUCAGUAAGUUAGAUUUAAUAAGUACAUACUAUAGUUUUCGGUUAAUGCUGCUCAUACUACUGUGGUUCAUGCAGAUACACUUACUGUCCACAAGACGGCGCUGAAACACUGAUAUGAAACUUUGAAAUGCAUGUUCCGUUAUAUUAAUGAGUAAAAAACUGCAUUUAAACAUCAUUAAAUGUUUCGUCGUUCAAAAUUUGUUUAACUGUGAACAGACAUGACAAAUAUCACCUAAAACAGAUAAAAACAAAUACACUUGACAGACAAACUAAAAGAAUCUCGGAUCUUUCGUCACGUGUGUUGUGUUUACGCUUGAGGCCUGUGACUUUCAGCAGAUCAUUUUAUGUCUUACCCCAUCAGAUGAGAGCUGAUCUGACUCAGAUCCUGACAAAGCAUAGAUUAGUUUUAAAAUAUAUGAAAAUUAAAACUUCAGCCCUCUCACCCAGAGCACAAAUUCACUCGCCCAGAACACUAGCUUGUCACUACAGUACUGAAAGCAGAAAGACAGAAACUGAAGCGCAGUUUACCAUCCGCUCCACUAGGCGGCGUAAGCGUGUUUCACUGUCAGCGCGACACCUUUGGGUCCUUGACAACAAUGACGCUUGACGACAGUCGCUACAACACGUGCAGGUGACAGCUAUCACACAACUGCACAUAUUCCAGCAAAUAAACCGACACACAGUGCGAUAAAAUGCGGGAAUCGAGUGUCAUUUAACUCCUCGAAUAAGGGAUGUUUGGACACCCAGUCAUCAGAAGCAGAGCUGUAGGAAGUGUGGACAGACACUGACUGUAAUGAUGAACUUCUGCUGCUGGACAGGUAGAAAACCAUAACCGCUGCUGGACAUCGUACUGUGGCCUGGGGGGGGGACCCGAAUCAUCCCCACCCCUUCACACACACACCAUUCACUCAUAUCGCUGAGAUCUGGCUGGGAUCGAACCAGCAACCUCUGAACCCAUGAGGCAGUGCUCUUAACCUGUGAGCCACAGAUCUCUUGUUUGAACAUGUGCAGGAACUUAUAUUUCACUGUUAUCCUGACCUGUGAUUUACAAUAAACUAGUUAAAGUUUUCA